RNAcentral lists this ribosomal RNA (468 nucleotides) under uncultured bacterium. Its description in RNAcentral is "partial 16S ribosomal RNA". It matches the Rfam family "Bacterial small subunit ribosomal RNA", at positions 28 to 507 of the family's 1533-position model. The record is from RNAcentral.
GACGAACGCUGGCGGCGUGCUUAACACAUGCAAGUCGAACGGAAAGGCCCUGCUUUUGUGGGGUGCUCGAGUGGCGAACGGGUGAGUAACACGUGAGUAACCUGCCCUUGACUUUGGGAUAACUUCAGGAAACUGGGGCUAAUACCGGAUAGGAGCUCCUGCUGCAUGGUGGGGGUUGGAAAGUUUCGGCGGUUGGGGAUGGACUCGCGGCUUAUCAGCUUGUUGGUGGGGUAGUGGCUUACCAAGGCUUUGACGGGUAGCCGGCCUGGGAGGGUGACCGGCCACAUUGGGACUGAGAUACGGCCCAGACGCCUACGGGAGGCAGCAGUGGGGAGUAUUGCACAAUGGGCGGGAGCCUGAUGCAGCAACGCCGCGUGCGGGAUGACGGCCUUCGGGUUGUAAACCGCUUUCGCCUGUGACGAAGCGUGAGUGACGGUAAUGGGUAAAGAAGCACCGGCUAACUACGUG